UUAUUGGUUGAUGUCAUGAUAGCAGCCAUUCUUUCUAGGGUGAGGCGGAAUCUCAGAGUUGUUUUUAUCUGCAUCUCUGGAAUGAAUGACUAGUAACUCAAAAACAGCUCAUUGAACCCUGCCCCCUCAGCCUGGUGGAAGGGAGGGGGAGCAGGAGCCUGCAGCUUGGGUGACUCUAGAUAACUUCAGGCUAAUUGCACAGUGUGCACAGACACACACACGCGCACGCACCCCGAGGUGGCAUCAACCCAUUUGAACAUCAGCCCUAUCAACUUUCCAUGGUAGUCAUCAUGCCUACCAUGGUGACCUCGGGUGAUGGGGAAUCAGGGUUCAAUGCCGGGGAAGGAGCCUGAGAAAUGGCUACCACAUCCAAGGAAGGCAGCAGGCAUGCAAAUUACCCACCUCUGACCCGGGGAGGUAGUGAUGAA
RNAcentral lists this non-coding RNA (428 nucleotides) under Fukomys damarensis (Damara mole-rat). RNAcentral describes it as "Microsporidia small subunit ribosomal RNA". It matches the Rfam family "Eukaryotic small subunit ribosomal RNA", at positions 157 to 474 of the family's 1831-position model. The record is from Rfam by way of RNAcentral. Lineage: Eukaryota; Metazoa; Chordata; Mammalia; Rodentia; Bathyergidae.